GUGCCAGACUCCUACGGGAGGCAGCAGUGAGGAAUAUUGGUCAAUGGACGGAAGUCUGAACCAGCCAUGCCGCGUGCAGGAAGACGGCUCUAUGAGUUGUAAACUGCUUUUGUACAAGGGUAAACCUGAAUACGUGUAUUCAGCUGAAAGUACUGUACGAAUAAGGAUCGGCUAACUCCGUGCCAGCAGCCGCGGUAAUACGGAGGAUCCAAGCGUUAUCCGGAUUUAUUGGGUUUAAAGGGUGCGUAGGCGGUUUGAUAAGUUAGAGGUGAAAUACCGGGGCUCAACCCCGGGGCUGCCGUUGAAACCGGAGCGCUAGAAUUCCGAUGCCGUCGGAGGAAUGUGUGGUGUAGCGGUGAAAUGCAUAGAUAUCACACAGAACACCGAUUGCGAAGGCAUCUGACGAAUCGGAGAUUGACGCUGAUGCACGAAAGCGUGGGUAUCGAACAGGAUUAGAUACCCUAGUAC
This 468-nucleotide ribosomal RNA is filed under the name uncultured bacterium. Its description in RNAcentral is "bacterial SSU rRNA". It matches the Rfam family "Bacterial small subunit ribosomal RNA", at positions 328 to 793 of the family's 1533-position model. The record is from RNAcentral.